CAGACAACGCAGACUACAAGGGAAGUGGCUAUGAUCGCGGUCAUCUGGCGGCGGCUGGGAAUCACAAAGUGGACCAAAAACACAUGGAACAAACCUUUUUCACGAAUAUGGCACCACAGGUUGGAAAGGAUUUCAACAGAGAUUCCUGGAACAGAUUGGAGAAAUACAUUCGGAAGUUGACAAAUAUCUAUACAAGGACGUCUACGUAUGCACGGGGCCAUUAUACCUUCCUAAGAGAGAGGCGGAUGGAAAGAAAUAUAUGCGUUAUGAAGUGAUCAGCGCGAAUCAUGUGGCAGUGCCUACACAUUUUUAUAAGGUCAUCGUCGGCGAAACCAAUGAUGAAAUACGUGAUUUUAUAUCAGAAAAGAUCAAAACUGGUAUGUCAGUUUUGAGCUUCACGGGAUGAUACGUGCAGUUGUAUGCUAUUUCUUGAUGUAAGAUCAAAUUACAUAAACAUUUGUAAUUUUCAGCGCCGGUCGUGGUAAGUGUAUUAAUGUCUAAGCUCGGCUCAUUUAUAAUAAGAUAUGUAUUAUUAUUCAAUUGAAGCUCACCAUUCGUCAGUCUAUUGUGUUCGUAAUCUAAUCUAGAAAUAAUGCGAAUUUAUUCACUAAUAUAUAUGCAUUCAGACCUGUGGCA
This is a long non-coding RNA of Solenopsis invicta (red fire ant), 636 nucleotides long. RefSeq lists it as uncharacterized. The transcript is spliced from 3 exons. The record is from RefSeq and is a predicted model, not a curated record. NCBI's taxonomy places the organism in Eukaryota, Metazoa, Arthropoda, Insecta, Hymenoptera, Formicidae.